UACGGGGGGAGCAAGCGUUGUUCGGAUUUACUGGGCGUAAAGGGCGCGUAGGCGGCCAGCACAAGUCAGUUGUGAAAUCUCCGAGCUUAACUCGGAACGGUCAACUGAUACUGUGCGGCUAGAGUGCGGAAGGGGCAACUGGAAUUCUUGGUGUAGCGGUGAAAUGCGUAGAUAUCAGGAGGAACACCGGUGGCGAAGGCGGGUCUCUGGGCAACAACUGACGCUGAGGAGCGAAAGCGUGGGGAGCGAACAGG
This 254-nucleotide ribosomal RNA is filed under the name uncultured bacterium. Its description in RNAcentral is "partial 16S ribosomal RNA". It matches the Rfam family "Bacterial small subunit ribosomal RNA", at positions 524 to 776 of the family's 1533-position model. The record is from RNAcentral.